GGUUGAAGUUCAGGUAACACUGAAUGGAGGACCGAACCGACUUACGUUGAAAAGUGAGCGGAUGAACUGAGGGUAGCGGAGAAAUUCCAAUCGAACCUGGAGAUAGCUGGUUCUCUCCGAAAUAGCUUUAGGGCUAGCCUCAAGUGAUGAUUAUUGGAGGUAGAGCACUGUUUGGACGAGGGGCCCCUCUCGGGUUACCGAAUUCAGACAAACUCCGAAUGCCAAUUAAUUUAACUUGGGAGUCAGAACAUGGGUGAUAAGGUCCGUGUUCGAAAGGGAAACAGCCCAGACCACCAGCUAAGGUCCCAAAAUAUAUGUUAAGUGGAAAAGGAUGUGGCGUUGCCCAGACAACUAGGAUGUUGGCUUAGAAGCAGCCAUCAUUUAAAGAGUGCGUAAUAGCUCACUAGUCGAGUGACACUGCGCCGAAAAUGUACCGGGGCUAAACAUAUUACCGAAGCUGUGGAUUGUCCUUUGGACAAUGGUAGGAGAGCGUUCUAAGGGCGUUGAAGCAUGAUCGCAAGGACAUGUGGAGCGCUUAGAAGUGAGAAU
Molecule: ribosomal RNA, 549 nt
Filed under: Staphylococcus aureus
Lineage: Bacteria; Bacillati; Bacillota; Bacilli; Caryophanales; Staphylococcaceae
Description: partial 23S ribosomal RNA
Rfam family: Bacterial large subunit ribosomal RNA
Source: RNAcentral